CUACGAGUGCUAUAAUGCAAGUCGAACGAGCAAUGAGAAAGUGGCAACACUUUUUCAAAGUUAGUGGCGAACGGGUGCGUAACGCGUGGGUAAUCUGCCUUGAAGAUCGGGAUAACUCCUCGAAAGAGGAGCUAAUACUGAAUGUGCUAUAUUUUUCAUAUGUAGAAUAUAGUAAAGGUAGCCGCAAGGCCUCUGCUUCAAGAUGAGCCCGCGUCCUAUUAGCUUGUUGGCAGGGUAAUAGCCUACCAAGGCUAUGAUGGGUAGCCGGUCUGAGAGGAUGGUCGGCCACACUGGGACUGAGAUACGGCCCAGACUCCUACGGGAGGCAGCAGUAGGGAAUAUUGCGCAAUGGGCGAAAGCCUGACGCAGCGACACCGUGUGAAGGAUGAAGGUCUUCGGAUUGUAAACUUCUGUCAAUUGGGGACGAAGGUGCUGGGGUUAAUAGCCUUCAGCAUUGACGGUACCUAAAAAGGAAGUCUCGGCUUACUCCGUGCCAGCAGCCGCGGUAAGACGGGGGAGGCAAGCGUUGUCCGGAAUUAUUGGGCGUAAAGAGCGCGUAGGUGGUUUAUCAAGUCAUUUGUGAAAACUUUAGGCUUAACUUAAAGAUUGCAAGUGAUACUGAUAUACUUGAGCACAGCAGAGGAAAGUGGAAUUCCUGGUGUAGCGGUGAAAUGCGCAGAUAUCAGGAAGAACACCAGUGGCGAAGGCGGCUUUCUGGGCUGUUGCUGACACUGAGGCGCGAAAGCUAGGGGAGCGAACAGGAUUAGAUACCCUGGUAGUCCUAGCCGUAACGAUGGACACUAGUGUGGGGAGGUUAUCG
Molecule: ribosomal RNA, 820 nt
Filed under: uncultured Desulfotomaculum sp.
Lineage: Bacteria; Bacillati; Bacillota; Clostridia; Eubacteriales; Desulfotomaculaceae
Description: bacterial SSU rRNA
Rfam family: Bacterial small subunit ribosomal RNA
Source: RNAcentral